This 497-nucleotide ribosomal RNA is filed under the name uncultured bacterium. RNAcentral describes it as "partial 16S ribosomal RNA". It matches the Rfam family "Bacterial small subunit ribosomal RNA", at positions 28 to 507 of the family's 1533-position model. The record is from RNAcentral.
GAUGAACGCUGGCGGCGUGCCUAAUACAUGCAAGUCGAGCGAACGGACGAGAAGCUUGCUUCUCUGAUGUUAGCGGCGGACGGGUGAGUCACACGUGGAUAACCUACCUCUACGACUGGGAUAACUUCGGGAAACCGGAGCUCAUACCGGAUAAUAUUUUGAACCGCGUGGUUCAAAAGUGAAAGACGGUCUUGCUGUCACUUAUAGCUGGAUCCGCGCUGCAUUAGCUAGUUGGUAAGGUAACGGCUUACCAAGGCACCGAUGCAUAGCCGACCUGAGAGGGUGAUCGGCCACACGGGAAGUGAGACAGGGUCCAGACUCCUACGGGAGGCAGCAGUAGGGAAUCUUCCGCAAUGGGCGAAAGCCUGACGGAGCAACGCCGCGUGAGUGAUGAAGGUCUUCGGAUCGUAAAACUCUGUUAUUAGGGAAGAACAUAUGUGUAAGUAACUGUGCACAUCUUGACGGUACCUAAACAGAAAGCCACGGCUAACUACGUG